Molecule: long non-coding RNA, 143 nt
Organism: Leopardus geoffroyi (Geoffroy's cat)
Lineage: Eukaryota; Metazoa; Chordata; Mammalia; Carnivora; Felidae
Exons: 2
Source: RefSeq, a predicted model, not a curated record
AAAGAGAACCCUUUUGCGCUGUUUGUGGGAAUGCAAACUGGUGCAGCCACUGUGGAAAAGAGUAUGGAGGUUCCUCAAAAAAUUAAAAGUAGAAAUACCACAUGACCUAAUAAUUCCACUACGAGAUAUUUACCCAAAGGAAA